AGAGUUUGAUCCUGGCUCAGGACUAACGCUGGCGGCGUGCCUAACACAUGCAAGUCGAACGGGCUGUAGCAAUACAGUUAGUGGCAGACGGGUGAGUAACACGUAGAUAACGUACCCCUCCGCUGGGGAUAGCCACUGGAAACGGUGGGUAAAACCGAAUACUCUGUCCUGAGGGCAUCCUCGGGAUAGGAAAACUCCGG
RNAcentral lists this ribosomal RNA (200 nucleotides) under uncultured bacterium. Its description in RNAcentral is "partial 16S ribosomal RNA". It matches the Rfam family "Bacterial small subunit ribosomal RNA", at positions 8 to 212 of the family's 1533-position model. The record is from RNAcentral.